Potamilus streckersoni is the source of this 72-nucleotide non-coding RNA. NCBI's taxonomy places the organism in Eukaryota, Metazoa, Mollusca, Bivalvia, Unionida, Unionidae. The record is from the annotation of a GenBank genome assembly.
AUUCUGGUGGCCUAGUGGUUAGAGUGUCCACCUCAGAUGCAGAAGGUCGUGGGCUCAAUUCCCCGUAGAGUC